Molecule: ribosomal RNA, 586 nt
Filed under: Escherichia coli
Lineage: Bacteria; Pseudomonadati; Pseudomonadota; Gammaproteobacteria; Enterobacterales; Enterobacteriaceae
Description: partial 23S ribosomal RNA
Rfam family: Bacterial large subunit ribosomal RNA
Source: RNAcentral
CUAACUGGAGGACCGAACCGACUAAUGUUGAAAAAUUAGCGGAUGACUUGUGGCUGGGGGUGAAAGGCCAAUCAAACCGGGAGAUAGCUGGUUCUCCCCGAAAGCUAUUUAGGUAGCGCCUCGUGAACUCAUCUCCGGGGGUAGAGCACUGUUUCGGCAAGGGGGUCAUCCCGACUUACCAACCCGAUGCAAACUGCGAAUACCGGAGAAUGUUAUCACGGGAGACACACGGCGGGUGCUAACGUCCGUCGUGAAGAGGGAAACAACCCAGACCGCCAGCUAAGGUCCCAAAGUCAUGGUUAAGUGGGAAACGAUGUGGGAAGGCCCAGACAGCCAGGAUGUUGGCUUAGAAGCAGCCAUCAUUUAAAGAAAGCGUAAUAGCUCACUGGUCGAGUCGGCCUGCGCGGAAGAUGUAACGGGGCUAAACCAUGCACCGAAGCUGCGGCAGCGACACUAUGUGUUGUUGGGUAGGGGAGCGUUCUGUAAGCCUGUGAAGGUGUGCUGUGAGGCAUGCUGGAGGUAUCAGAAGUGCGAAUGCUGACAUAAGUAACGAUAAAGCGGGUGAAAAGCCCGCUCGCCGGAAGAC